Non-coding RNA from Podarcis lilfordi (Lilford's wall lizard), 97 nucleotides. The record is from the annotation of a GenBank genome assembly. Lineage: Eukaryota; Metazoa; Chordata; Lepidosauria; Squamata; Lacertidae.
UGUCCGGUAGCACCUUAGAGACCAACUAAGUUUGUUCUUGGUAUGAGCUUUCAUGUGCAAGAACAAACUUAGUUGGUCUCUAAGGUGCUACUGGACA